GGUACAUUCUGUGGCAUUACAUAGUAUUUCUGUUUGUCUUGUUCCUCGCUCCUCUUCCAGUGCAAUAGCGUCUGCCAAUUCAUGUCCAGAUUAUUCUAUCAAAAGAAUUGUCAGCCCAAGCUUAGAAUCUGUUCAUGAUGGUAUUAUUCUGUACUGCAUUGUUUACGCCUCUCAAGACCGGAAUCAUGUGUAUUGGUUUCCUGUUCUUUGCUCCUCCAGCCCCUUGAAAGCAAUUCUCGGUACAGCAGCGAGUACGGAGUACCCCGUAAACGGUUCCUCGUUAUAGUCUACGCACAUCAACUGAUAUCCCUUCUCCCGUGGUUGGACGGCCACACUCACUGGAACAGGACAGCAUGUUCGGGGAGGGAUGAGACGAGUUCAUCGUUUUUGCAUCUUGCCAUAUUGCACAAACUCUAUAACCUCCAUCGCCCUCAACAUUCCCAAGCCCAGACAUAUACGUGUUAUAGUAAAAAUACAUGUAAGGACGCAACCUUACAAAGUUCAUUCCGAUGAUAAUGUCUUAUCAUGCACUUAUUAUUGACGCAAUCUUGCGGGGUCACUGAAGUUGAGUUAAGGGUAAAGAUAUUAGGCCACUAGGGCAAAAGAGCUCAAUCACCACCAGCGCCGUGGUGGUAUAGAGGGUUGGCUAAUGACGACAAAGCAGC
Molecule: small RNA, 665 nt
Filed under: Histoplasma capsulatum var. duboisii H88
Lineage: Eukaryota; Fungi; Ascomycota; Eurotiomycetes; Onygenales; Ajellomycetaceae
Description: Histoplasma capsulatum H88 hypothetical RNA
Source: RNAcentral